CGAGUUGGCCAGACAAUCGCUGCUUACUCGUUGUACCUUUCGGGGUAGACGGAGUAAGGGGAGGAAAGUCCGGGCUCCAAAGAGCAGGGUGCCAGAUAACGUCUGGGCGGCGAAAGCCGACGACAAGUGCAGCAGAGAGAAGACCGCCUAAGUACGCAAGUACCGGUAAGGGUGAAAGGGUGCGGUAAGAGCGCACCGGGCCACUGGUAACAGUUGGCAGCAGGGUAAACUCCACCCGGAGCAAGACCAAAUAGGGUUCCUGACGGCGUGGCUCGCGUUGGAACCGGGUAGGUUGCUUGAGCUAUGGGGCGACUCAUAGCCUAGACGAAUGAUUGUCGUGUCUUAGACAUAACAGAACCCGGCUUAUACGGCCAACUCACUAA
Molecule: RNase P RNA, 383 nt
Filed under: Thalassotalea sp. HSM 43
Lineage: Bacteria; Pseudomonadati; Pseudomonadota; Gammaproteobacteria; Alteromonadales; Colwelliaceae
Description: Bacterial RNase P class A
Rfam family: Bacterial RNase P class A
About the family: Ribonuclease P (RNase P) is a ubiquitous endoribonuclease, found in archaea, bacteria and eukarya as well as chloroplasts and mitochondria.
Source: Rfam by way of RNAcentral